ACGGCGGGUGUCAGCGACGCCGGAGACGUGCGACAGGCCGGGCGGAGAGCGGACGCUAUCGACGGCGCUCGGGGACGGCGGGAGCGGCGCGGUCGGAGUGCAAGGCAGAAGUCAGGAGUAGACGGGCCCCCUGCCACCGGCAGAGCUUCACACCAUGGUUCUGGGACGUCCUUUCCUCGUCGCUGGCCUGGUUCUGACGGUGCUUCUGCAUUCGACAACCGCACAAACUGCACGACAAAGGGUGCACAACUCGCUGAGGAUGUACAAACCUCUUCUGCAUGAUCCGGAGACCGUCUUACUGCUGCUCCGACUUAUACGGCAUCUGAAUAGGAUCAUGCCUAGGGUACGGCCAGUCUCCAGCUCGCACGGCGUCAUUGGCCCCAAUUCCGCGCCGCACCCUGGAGUCGGUGAUGGCACCGGAUCAAGGCCCGGCCCCAGCUCCGGCCCCAGCCCGAGGCCCGGCCCCAGCUCCGGCCCCGGCCCGAGUCCCGGCCCCAGCUCCGGCCCCGGCCCGAGUCCCGGCCUCAG
Molecule: long non-coding RNA, 528 nt
Organism: Pollicipes pollicipes
Lineage: Eukaryota; Metazoa; Arthropoda; Thecostraca; Pollicipedomorpha; Pollicipedidae
Exons: 6
Source: RefSeq, a predicted model, not a curated record